This is a long non-coding RNA of Cydia fagiglandana, 168 nucleotides long. RefSeq lists it as uncharacterized. NCBI's taxonomy places the organism in Eukaryota, Metazoa, Arthropoda, Insecta, Lepidoptera, Tortricidae. The record is from RefSeq and is a predicted model, not a curated record. The transcript has 2 exons.
AUUUUUAGCGCUGGUGGCCUAGCGGUAAGAGCGUGCGACUUGCAAUCUGGAAGUCGCGGGUUCAAACCCGGCUCGUACCAAUGAGUUUUUCGGAACUUAUGUACGAAAUAUCAUUUGAUAUUUACCAGUCGCUUUUCGGUGAAGGAAAACAUCGUGAGGAAACCAGAC